GGGCGCUUAGCUCAGUCGGGUCAGAGCACUUCCCUUACAAGGAAGGGGUCGGCGGUUCGAGUCCGCCAGCGCCCA
Molecule: transfer RNA, 75 nt
Filed under: Acidimicrobiia bacterium
Lineage: Bacteria; Bacillati; Actinomycetota; Acidimicrobiia
Description: tRNA-Val
Rfam family: tRNA
About the family: Transfer RNA (tRNA) molecules are approximately 80 nucleotides in length. Their secondary structure includes four short double-helical elements and three loops (D, anti-codon, and T loops).
Source: RNAcentral